RNAcentral lists this transfer RNA (72 nucleotides) under Spirochaetaceae bacterium. RNAcentral's name for it is "tRNA-Gly". It matches the Rfam family "tRNA". Rfam says of the family: Transfer RNA (tRNA) molecules are approximately 80 nucleotides in length. Their secondary structure includes four short double-helical elements and three loops (D, anti-codon, and T loops). RNAcentral also lists the same sequence under 5 other names. The record is from RNAcentral. Lineage: Bacteria; Pseudomonadati; Spirochaetota; Spirochaetia; Spirochaetales; Spirochaetaceae.
GCGGGAGUGGCUCAGUGGUAGAGCUCCACCUUGCCAAGGUGGUUGUCGCGGGUUCGAUCCCCGUCUCCCGCU